This 321-nucleotide ribosomal RNA is filed under the name uncultured bacterium. Its description in RNAcentral is "bacterial SSU rRNA". It matches the Rfam family "Bacterial small subunit ribosomal RNA", at positions 28 to 334 of the family's 1533-position model. The record is from RNAcentral.
GAUGAACGCUGGCGGCGUGCUUAACACAUGCAAGUCGAACGAAGCACUUAAGAUUGAUUCUUCGGAUGACGUCUUUUGUGACUUAGUGGCGGACGGGUGAGUAACGCGUGGGUAACCUGCCUCACACAGGGGGAUAACAGUUGGAAACGACUGCUAAUACCGCAUAUGAGAUAUGUUGAAAUGCAUAUCUUGAAAACUACGGUGCCUAAGGAUGAGCCUGUGCCUGAUUAGCUAGUUGGUGGUGUAAUGGACUACCAAGGCGACGAUCAGUAGCUGGUUUGAGAGGAUGAUCAGCCACAAUGGGACUGAGACACGGCCCAU